This 1394-nucleotide ribosomal RNA is filed under the name uncultured bacterium. Its description in RNAcentral is "bacterial SSU rRNA". It matches the Rfam family "Bacterial small subunit ribosomal RNA". The record is from RNAcentral.
GAAUUCGCCCUUAGAGUUUGAUCCGGCUCAGGAUGAACGCUAGCUACAGGCUUAACACAUGCAAGUCGAGGGGCAGCGGGGAUCUAGCUUGCUAGAUUUGCCGGCGACCGGCGCACGGGUGAGUAACACGUAUCCAACCUGGCCCAUACUCGGGUAUAGCCUCUCGAAAGGGAGAUUAAUCCCCGAUGUUGUCACAUUCCCGCAUGGAAGUGUGACCAAAGAAUUUCGGUAUGGGAUGGGGAUGCGUUCCAUUAGCUAGUUGGCGGGGUAACGGCCCACCAAGGCGACGAUGGAUAGGGGUUCUGAGAGGAAGGUCCCCCACACUGGAACUGAGACACGGUCCAGACUCCUACGGGAGGCAGCAGUGGGGAAUAUUGGGCAAUGGGCGAAAGCCUGACCCAGCAACGCCGCGUGAGGGAAGAAGGUUUUCGGAUUGUAAACCUCUGUCCUAAGGGAAGAAGGAAGUGACGGUACCUUAGGAGGAAGCCCCGGCUAACUACGUGCCAGCAGCCGCGGUAAUACGUAGGGGGCGAGCGUUGUCCGGAAUGACUGGGCGUAAAGGGCGUGUAGGCGGCCUGUUAAGUUAGGAGUGAAAGUCCUGCUUUCAAGGUGGGAAUUGCUUUUAAUACUGAUGGGCUUGAGUGCAGAAGAGGUAAGUGGAAUUCCCAGUGUAGCGGUGAAAUGCGUAGAGAUUGGGAGGAACACCAGUGGCGAAGGCGACUUACUGGGCUGUAACUGACGCUGAGGCGCGAAAGCGUGGGGAGCGAACAGGAUUAGAUACCCUGGUAGUCCACGCGGUAAACGAUGAAUGCUAGGUGUAGGGGGUAUCGACCCCUCCUGUGCCGGAGUAAACACAAUAAGCAUUCCGCCUGGGGAGUACGGCCGCAAGGUUGAAACUCAAAGGAAUUGACGGGGGCCCGCACAAGCAGCGGAGCAUGUGGUUUAAUUCGAAGCAACGCGAAGAACCUUACCAGGUCUUGACAUCGAGGUAAACUUGUAGAGAUACAAGGUGGAUUCGUCCGACCGAAGACAGGUGGUGCAUGGUUGUCGUCAGCUCGUGUCGUGAGAUGUUGGGUUAAGUCCCGCAACGAGCGCAACCCCUAUCUUUAGUAGCCAGCAUUUCGGAUGGGCACUCUAGAGAGACUGCCAGGGAUAACCUGGAGGAAGGUGGGGAUGACGUCAAAUCAUCAUGCCCCUUAUGAUCAGGGCUACACACGUGCUACAAUGGCGUAAACAAAGGGAAGCGAUCCCGCGAGGGUGAGCAAAUCUCAAAAAUAACGUCUCAGUUCGGAUUGUAGUCUGCAACUCGACUACAUGAAGCUGGAAUCGCUAGUAAUCGCGAAUCAGAAUGUCGCGGUGAAUACGUUCCCGGCUCUUGUACUCACCGCCCGUCA